AAUAAAAAUAUCUUUGGUUGGGGCAACCACGAAGAAAAAAAAACCUUCGUUUAGAAAAAAAAUUUACAAAUUUAAAAAUUAUUAAAAAUUUUUAAGAUCCAGAAAAUUCUGAACAAAGAAAAAAGUUACCGCAGGGAUAACAGCGUUAUUCUCUUUAAGAGCUCUUAUUGACAAGAGAGUUUGCGACCUCGAUGUUGGAUCGGGGCACCCAAGAGGUGCAGCAGCCUCUAAAGGUAGGUCUGUUCGACCUUUAAAGCCCUACGUGAU
Molecule: ribosomal RNA, 267 nt
Filed under: Amphimetra ensifer
Lineage: Eukaryota; Metazoa; Echinodermata; Crinoidea; Comatulida; Himerometridae
Description: partial large subunit ribosomal RNA
Rfam family: Bacterial large subunit ribosomal RNA
Source: RNAcentral